Molecule: ribosomal RNA, 792 nt
Filed under: Acinetobacter sp. CBMAI 1176
Lineage: Bacteria; Pseudomonadati; Pseudomonadota; Gammaproteobacteria; Moraxellales; Moraxellaceae
Description: bacterial SSU rRNA
Rfam family: Bacterial small subunit ribosomal RNA
Source: RNAcentral
GGUGGGGUAAAGGCCUACCAAGGCGACGAUCUGUAGCGGGUCUGAGAGGAUGAUCCGCCACACUGGGACUGAGACACGGACCAGACUCCUACGGGAGGCAGCAGUGGGGAAUAUUGGACAAUGGGCGCAAGCCUGAUCCAGCCAUGCCGCGUGUGUGAAGAAGGCCUUAUGGUUGUAAAAGCACUUUAAGCGAGGAGGAGGCUACUUUAAUUAAUACCUAGAGAUAGUGGACGUUACUCGCAGAAUAAGCACCGGCUAACUCUGUGCCAGCAGCCGCGGUAAUACAGAGGGUGCAAGCGUUAAUCGGAUUUACUGGGCGUAAAGCGCGCGUAGGCGGCUAAUUAAGUCAAAUGUGAAAUCCCCGAGCUUAACUUGGGAAUUGCAUUCGAUACUGGUUAGCUAGAGUGUGGGAGAGGAUGGUAGAAUUCCAGGUGUACCGGUGAAAUGCGUAGAGAUCUGGAGGAAUACCGAUGGCGAAGGCAGCCAUCUGGCCUAACACUGACGCUGAGGUGCGAAAGCAUGGGGAGCAAACAGGAUUAGAUACCCUGGUAGUCCAUGCCGUAAACGAUGUCUACUAGCCGUUGGGGCCUUUGAGGCUUUAGUGGCGCAGCUAACGCGAUAAGUAGACCGCCUGGGGAGUACGGUCGCAAGACUAAAACUCAAAUGAAUUGACGGGGGCCCGCACAAGCGGUGGAGCAUGUGGUUUAAUUCGAUGCAACGCGAAGAACCUUACCUGGCCUUGACAUAGUAAGAACUUUCCAGAGAUGGAUUGGUGCCUUCGGGAACUUACAU